Molecule: ribosomal RNA, 466 nt
Filed under: uncultured bacterium
Lineage: Bacteria
Description: partial 16S ribosomal RNA
Rfam family: Bacterial small subunit ribosomal RNA
Source: RNAcentral
GAUGAACGCUGGCGGCGUGCUUAACACAUGCAAGUCGAACGGAAAGGCCCAAGCUUGCUUGGGUACUCGAGUGGCGAACGGGUGAGUAACACGUUGGUGAUCUGCCCUGCACUUCGGGAUAAGCCUGGGAAACUGGGUCUAAUACCGGAUAGGACCACAUUUUGGAUGGUGUGGUGGAAAGUUUUUCGGUGUGGGAUGAGCUCGCGGCCUAUCAGCUUGUUGGUGGGGUAAUGGCCUACCAAGGCGUCGACGGGUAGCCGGCCUGAGAGGGUGUACGGCCACAUUGGGACUGAGAUACGGCCCAGACUCCUACGGGAGGCAGCAGUGGGGAAUAUUGCACAAUGGGCGCAAGCCUGAUGCAGCGACGCCGCGUGGGGGAUGACGGCCUUCGGGUUGUAAACUCCUUUCGCUAGGGACGAAGCGUUAUGUGACGGUACCUGGAGAAGAAGCACCGGCUAACUACGUG